Molecule: ribosomal RNA, 520 nt
Filed under: Myrmecophilus kinomurai
Lineage: Eukaryota; Metazoa; Arthropoda; Insecta; Orthoptera; Myrmecophilidae
Description: partial 16S ribosomal RNA
Rfam family: Bacterial large subunit ribosomal RNA
Source: RNAcentral
AAACAUGGCGGUUUGAUUAUUAAUUUAACGUCUGACCUGCCCACUGAUAUUGAAGGGCCGCAGUAUUUUGACUGUGCAAAGGUAGCAUAAUCAUUAGGUUCUUGAUUAGGAUCUGGUAUGAAAGGUUUAACGAAAUAUUAACUGUCUCUGUUUGAUAUAUUUAAUUUAACUUUUUAGUAAAAAGGCUAAUAUUUGGAUGAGGGACGAGAAGACCCUAUAGAGCUUGAUAGUUGUUUUAUUACAUUUAGAUAGUUUUUGAGUAAUUGUUGUUAUGAUAACUGUUUUACUGGGGCGGUACUAAGAUAAAUUUAACUCUUGUUUUGUUAAUAAAGAUAGAUAGAUAAAUGAAUCAUUCUAAUUGAUUUUAGAUAAAGUUACCUUAGGGAUAACAGCGUAAUUUAUUUGGAGAGUUCUUAUUGAUAAAUAUGUUUGCGACCUCGAUGUUGAAUUAAGAAUUCAGGGGAAUGGAGCAGUUUUCGAUGAGAGUCUGUUCGACUCUAAAAUUCUUACGUGAUCUGAG